UUUGUUUGCUAUCUGAAUGUAGCUAAAUAUAUUUAAUAAUUUUUAUUAUUCGUCUUCUUAUCAUUAUGUCAAAGAUGCAAGCCAGUGUUGAAGCCUUCCUCAUUGCCGUGGAACCAGGACAGCCCUUCCUCCUGCAUGUUGGUGAAAACAAGAGCAGCACCAAAGACACUUCACCAUCAGUGAUCACAAGAUCAUCCAAGGACUUGGUUUAUUACAGUCCCUGUGGCAAGCAGUUUUCUGCAUGGUCAGCAUUGAAGGCCAUAUUGUCUUUGAGAGGGUCCAGCCAACAUUCCAGACAGGACAGUGUUGUCCAUCUUCUUCAUCUUCAACCUCCAAUAUCAACAUGAGGCAGCCAAGACUUUGGAGUUCAUUCAACGUCGCUUCAUUGGGAAAGGGGCACAAAAGCCGGUCGUGGGAAGAUGGUAUCCAAAAAGACAGGAAAGACCAUUUAAAAUAAAAAGUGACGGUCAAUGUUCAGGUUUCCACCCUUAUCAAAAACCUGAUGGACUUUGAGUGGCAUCUCAUUAAUGUUCUAUCGUAAAACUAAGACUGUACUUUAAAAAGUAUCACUACAGUUUUCUUUGCAGUAGCUUACUCAUAAAGUGAAUGCAGUAGUAAAACUAAAUUUACAGUAAAAAUACUGGAACCUACAGACGCCAGUAUUUGAAGGUAUAUUUACUUUCACCACUGUAUUUUACGGUGGCCAACAGGUACAAACACCCAGCAAAGACGAGAAAAACACAUG
Poecilia latipinna (sailfin molly) is the source of this 745-nucleotide long non-coding RNA. RefSeq lists it as uncharacterized. NCBI's taxonomy places the organism in Eukaryota, Metazoa, Chordata, Actinopteri, Cyprinodontiformes, Poeciliidae. The transcript has 3 exons. The record is from RefSeq and is a predicted model, not a curated record.